This 23-nucleotide microRNA is filed under the name Pteropus alecto (black flying fox). RNAcentral describes it as "pal-miR-493-3p". Its record names the gene pal-miR-493-3p. The record is from miRBase by way of RNAcentral. Lineage: Eukaryota; Metazoa; Chordata; Mammalia; Chiroptera; Pteropodidae.
UGAAGGUCUACUGUGUGCCAGGC